AUACAUAACACUCAAGAUCCUAUUGGCAUUGCCGCAUUGUUGCCAAAGCCAAAAUAGAUUGCAUUGGAUAACAAAAUCCCAAAGAGGCAGAACUGCUGGAAAUCUUUGAAGUAGUUCUCUAAUUGGUUCCAUCAAUAAAGCCUUAUAGGCAUAUAUUUAUGGACUCAAAUUUUAAUCCUAAAUCUUUUAAGACUUGGACUCCUAGUUUUUAUGGUACUUGUAAUCCUAAGAGGACUUCUAAUAACACUAAAUAUAGCAAAACUAAUGCAAUGCUGAGCACACAAUUAAUACGAGCUCUCACCAUCAUACAAGUCCACACAUGAAGAACCUUGACCUGCAGAUCAUAAAACUCAGAUCUAAAUUACCACACUUCCAAGGCCACCAUUAUUCACCAUGGAUGAU
Molecule: unclassified non-coding RNA, 402 nt
Filed under: Hevea brasiliensis (rubber tree)
Lineage: Eukaryota; Viridiplantae; Streptophyta; Magnoliopsida; Malpighiales; Euphorbiaceae
Source: RNAcentral